GGCAAUGUAGUUUAAAUAGAACGUCUAGCUUGCACCUAGAUAGAGGGAACCACUCCCCAGAGCCA
Molecule: transfer RNA, 65 nt
Filed under: Polydora hoplura
Lineage: Eukaryota; Metazoa; Annelida; Polychaeta; Spionida; Spionidae
Description: tRNA-Ala
Source: RNAcentral